Molecule: non-coding RNA, 162 nt
Filed under: Hyphomicrobiales bacterium
Lineage: Bacteria; Pseudomonadati; Pseudomonadota; Alphaproteobacteria; Hyphomicrobiales
Description: 6S RNA
Rfam family: 6S / SsrS RNA
About the family: E. coli 6S RNA was the first non coding RNA to be sequenced, but its function was unknown until recently. It consists of 184 nucleotides that fold into an extended hairpin structure with a large single-stranded internal bulge.
Source: RNAcentral
GUGAAGCUGUGGGGCGCGAUAGGAGUCACUGAAUACCCGGGGCCGAUAAGAUGCUUAUGGGGGCUGACCCUGACCGGAGCCGUGGUUCCGGACACUUGGCUCCCACCUACACUGUAGGGACCCAAGGGCAUCGAAAUCUCCACCGGCCUUUACGGCUUCACU